RNAcentral lists this ribosomal RNA (509 nucleotides) under Gymnopternus aerosus. RNAcentral describes it as "partial 16S ribosomal RNA". It matches the Rfam family "Bacterial large subunit ribosomal RNA", at positions 1819 to 2597 of the family's 2925-position model. Lineage: Eukaryota; Metazoa; Arthropoda; Insecta; Diptera; Dolichopodidae. The record is from RNAcentral.
GUCUUUUUGAGUUUAAUUUAAAGUCUGAUCUGCCCACUGAUAAUAUUUAAGGGCCGCAGUAUUCUGACUGUGCAAAGGUAGCAUAAUCAUUAGUCUUUUAAUUGAGGGCUUGUAUGAAUGAUUGGACGAGAUAUAAUCUGUCUCAUAAAAAUUUAAGUAGAAUUUUAUUUUUUAGUUAAAAAGCUAAAAUAAGUUUAAAAGACGAGAAGACCCUAUAGAUCUUUAUAAUUUAUUUAUUAAUUUUUUUAGGUUAUUUUUUAAUUUUAUAAAUUAAAUUAUUUUGUUGGGGUGACAGUGAAAUUUAUAAAACUUUCAUAAUUUUUUUACAUUGAUUUAUGAUAAAUUGAUCCAUUUUUAGUGAUUAAAAAUUUAAGUUACCUUAGGGAUAACAGCGUAAUUAUUUUGGAGAGUUCUUAUCGAUAAAAUAGUUUGCGACCUCGAUGUUGGAUUAAGAUUAAUUCUGGGUGUAGCAGUUCAGGUUAUUAAGUCUGUUCGACUUUUAAUUUCUU